GUGUUGCAAAAAAGGAGAGAUAUGUAGCACUCCCCUUGACAAAGAUGGAGGAGAUCAUUUGAUCUUUCUAACACAUGGACAUUGCUCUCAACUUCAGAGCAACCUAUUGUUU
Octopus bimaculoides (California two-spot octopus) is the source of this 112-nucleotide non-coding RNA. The record is from Rfam. Lineage: Eukaryota; Metazoa; Mollusca; Cephalopoda; Octopoda; Octopodidae.